This 69-nucleotide transfer RNA is filed under the name Bifidobacterium adolescentis. It matches the Rfam family "tRNA". Rfam says of the family: Transfer RNA (tRNA) molecules are approximately 80 nucleotides in length. Their secondary structure includes four short double-helical elements and three loops (D, anti-codon, and T loops). Further hydrogen bonds mediate the characteristic L-shaped molecular structure. tRNAs have two regions of fundamental functional importance: the anti-codon, which is responsible for specific mRNA codon recognition, and the 3' end, to which the tRNAs corresponding amino acid is attached (by aminoacyl-tRNA synthetases). tRNAs cope with the degeneracy of the genetic code in two manners: having more than one tRNA (with a specific anti-codon) for a particular amino acid; and 'wobble' base-pairing, i.e. permitting non-standard base-pairing at the 3rd anti-codon position. Lineage: Bacteria; Bacillati; Actinomycetota; Actinomycetes; Bifidobacteriales; Bifidobacteriaceae. The record is from RNAcentral. RNAcentral also lists the same sequence under 24 other names.
GGAAGUGGCGCAAUUGGUAGCGCAACGGUCUCCAAAACCGUAGGUUGUGGGUUCGAGUCCCGCCUUCCC